This 786-nucleotide ribosomal RNA is filed under the name uncultured bacterium. RNAcentral's name for it is "bacterial SSU rRNA". It matches the Rfam family "Bacterial small subunit ribosomal RNA", at positions 8 to 796 of the family's 1533-position model. The record is from RNAcentral.
AGAGUUUGAUCCUGGCUCAGAACGAACGCUGGCGGCGUGCUUAACACAUGCAAGUCGAGUGCGCGCCUGUAGCAAUACAGGUGGCGCACGGCGCACGGGUGCGUAACACGUGGGUAAUCUGCCCUCUGAUGGGGAAUAACUCGCCGAAAGGCGAGCUAAUUCCGCAUAAUAUUCCGAAAAGUUCGCUUUUUGGACUGAAAGGCGUAAGUCGUCGGAGGAGGAGCCCGCGCACGAUUAGCUAGUUGGUAGGGUAAUGGCCUACCAAGGCUUUGAUCGUUAGCUGGUCUGAGAGGAUGGCCAGCCACACUGGAACUGAGACACGGUCCAGACUCCUACGGGAGGCAGCAGUGGGGAAUCUUGCACAAUGGGCGAAAGCCUGAUGCAGCGACGCCGCGUGGGGGAUGAAGCUUCUCGGAGUGUAAACCCCUUUCGAUCCGGACGAAUGCCUCGCAAGAGGAGUGACGGUACGGAUAUAAGAAGCCCCGGCUAACUACGUGCCAGCAGCCGCGGUAAUACGUAGGGGGCCAGCGUUGUUCGGAAUUACUGGGUGUAAAGGGUUCGUAGGCGGUGUGGCAAGUUGGGAGUGAAAUCUCUGGGCUCAACCCAGAGACGGCUUCCAAAACUGCCGUGCUUGAGUGUGGGAGAGGCUCGUGGAAUUGCAGGUGUAGCGGUGAAAUGCGUAGAUAUCUGCAGGAACACCCGUGGCGAAAGCGGCGAGCUGGACCACUACUGACGCUGAAGAACGAAAGCUAGGGGAGCAAACAGGAUUAGAUACCCCAGUAGUCC